Molecule: ribosomal RNA, 465 nt
Filed under: Vreelandella stevensii
Lineage: Bacteria; Pseudomonadati; Pseudomonadota; Gammaproteobacteria; Oceanospirillales; Halomonadaceae
Description: partial 16S ribosomal RNA
Rfam family: Bacterial small subunit ribosomal RNA
Source: RNAcentral
CCUACGGGUGGCUGCAGUGGGGAAUAUUGGACAAUGGGGGCAACCCUGAUCCAGCCAUGCCGCGUGUGUGAAGAAGGCCCUCGGGUUGUAAAGCACUUUCAGUGAGGAAGAACGCCUGGUGGUUAAUACCCAUCAGGAAAGACAUCACUCACAGAAGAAGCACCGGCUAACUCCGUGCCAGCAGCCGCGGUAAUACGGAGGGUGCGAGCGUUAAUCGGAAUUACUGGGCGUAAAGCGCGCGUAGGUGGCUUGAUAAGCCGGUUGUGAAAGCCCCGGGCUCAACCUGGGAACGGCAUCCGGAACUGUCAAGCUAGAGUGCAGGAGAGGAAGGUAGAAUUCCCGGUGUAGCGGUGAAAUGCGUAGAGAUCGGGAGGAAUAGCAGUGGCGAAGGCGGCCUUCUGGACUGACACUGACACUGAGGUGCGAAAGCGUGGGUAGCAAACAGGAUUAGAUACCCUGGUAGUC